GUUAAAAAUUGCUGUUAAUUUACGGCAAAAUUUUAACAGUAUAAUCCUGUUAUUGUCAAAAGCAGUAUGUUGCUGUUUUUUUACGGUUUUUGAAAUGACGUAGACGAAAUUUAACAUUAUUUUACUGUUUUUAUCACACCAAUGUAAAAAAACAGCAAUCAACAGUAUUUUUUGAACAGAAGACGUCAGCCAUUACAUGUGGAUUUUCAUGCUUCUUUUAACUUUGACUUACUCGGUGAGUGCACCUUUAUUUAGCUAAUUUUACACAAAAUACACAUUUGUGAUUGCACAUAGGCUAACUGGAUGCUGAUAUUGUAACUUUUUUACAUCUAUUUUAGUUCUAAAUCAGUGUCAAUGUGCAAACUGCAUCUGCAUUGAGUGGAACUGGAUUUCUGACACAGAUAUUUCCUGAUUACAUGUAUGUCCUUUUCAGCGCUGAACCUGUGAACAUGUGAACAUGCUAACUGCAUCAUAGAGUGGAGCUGGAUUUCUGAUACAGAUAUUGAUUUCUGAUUACAAGGCAUCUUCUACUGUACCUGAUGUAGAAAAGACCCUUGAACUACCUGCAAUUCCUUGACUGAUACUUUUUGAUGUUUUAGGAAAAAAAACAGGAAGCUACAUUCAUAAAUGGAUGAUCAGUUUUGAGGGGCAAAUAAUCUGAGAGAGCAUCCAGCCAAGUUUUCUGUCUGGUAUAGCUGCUGUGUUUUCAACUUACGACAUUUUCGAUGUGGAGAACCAAGCUGAGGCUGCAUGCACAUUGGAAUUAAUUCAGAGGAGCUUCAUUGGUAAACCCUAAGGCUCCAAGAGUGGACACAUCCUAUCGAAGGGAAUGGGGAAGGUCACCCACAAAAUGAAUUCAGUCAACACUAAGGUUGCCAGUUUACUUAAAGAAGCUAAUGGACUUUGAGUUGGAUGUCAUAUAAGUGUCCCCACACACACACACACACACCUUACACAUCCUCUUCACUAAUGGCACUCAUUUUAUUGUGUUAGUCGCGUAAUUUUUCAGGUGUAUGUUCUUGAAUACCUAAACUGUUCAUUGCAUUCUUUUUUAUUUCUUAAUGACUAAUUCUGUAAUUCACUCAGAAGUUUUCAGAGUAGUAAUUGUUGGAGUAAAUCUACUUGGUUUUCCAUAGCCACUAAUUUUGAAAUAUAAUAAGUGUAAUAAUAAUUUUGAAGUGUAAUAAGAUGUAAUAAAAGUUAAAGUUACACCGCAUUUUUUUAUGUUUCCAAUAAGGCUAUAUGUGUGCAUUGUAUUAAACUGUGUUAUUAUAACAAAUAAAAAAUGUAUAUAUACCCAUUUUCUUAGCAGUUCAUUUCUCAGGAUAACAUAUUUGUAGUUUACAGUUAAAAAUUCAAAUAAACAUUAAUUAACCGUUAAUUUUGACAUUAAAUUACUGUUAAUGUAGUAAAUAACAGCUUUAUGCUGUAUUUUCUAAAAACAGGAACAACCUGUAAAUUUCAACUACAGCUAGAUGCUGUUAAUUUAACAGUAACUUGCUGGCAACUGUGCUGCCAGUAACUUACUGUUUUUUAA
Molecule: non-coding RNA, 1537 nt
Organism: Danio rerio (zebrafish)
Lineage: Eukaryota; Metazoa; Chordata; Actinopteri; Cypriniformes; Danionidae
Source: RefSeq, a predicted model, not a curated record